AUUGAACGCUGGCGGCAUGCCUUACACAUGCAAGUCGAACGGUAACGGGCCUUCGGGUGCCGACGAGUGGCGAACGGGUGAGUAAUACAUCGGAACGUGCCCGAUCGUGGGGGAUAACGAGGCGAAAGCUUUGCUAAUACCGCAUACGAUCUACGGAUGAAAGCCGGGGACCGCAAGGCCUUGCGCGGACGGAGCGGCCGAUGGCAGAUUAGGUAGUUGGUGGGAUAAAAGCUUACCAAGCCGACGAUCUGUAGCUGGUCUGAGAGGAUGAUCAGCCACACUGGGACUGAGACACGGCCCAGACUCCUACGGGAGGCAGCAGUGGGGAAUUUUGGACAGUGGGCGCAAGCCUGAUCCAGCCAUGCCGCGUGCAGGAUGAAGGCCUUCGGGUGGUAAACUGCUUUUGUACGGAACGAAAAGCCUUCUUUUAAUACAGGAGGGUCAUGACGGUACCGUAAGAAUAAGCACCGGCUAACUACGU
RNAcentral lists this ribosomal RNA (481 nucleotides) under uncultured bacterium. Its description in RNAcentral is "partial 16S ribosomal RNA". It matches the Rfam family "Bacterial small subunit ribosomal RNA", at positions 30 to 506 of the family's 1533-position model. The record is from RNAcentral.